RNAcentral lists this ribosomal RNA (433 nucleotides) under uncultured bacterium. RNAcentral's name for it is "partial 16S ribosomal RNA". It matches the Rfam family "Bacterial small subunit ribosomal RNA", at positions 29 to 507 of the family's 1533-position model. The record is from RNAcentral.
AACGAACGCUGGCGGCAUGCCUAACACAUGCAAGUCGAACGAGACCUUCGGGUCUAGUGGCGCACGGGUGCGUAACGCGUGGGAAUCUGCCCUUGGGUUCGGAAUAACAGUUAGAAAUGACUGCUAAUACCGGAUGAUGUCUUCGGACCAAAGAUUUAUCGCCCAGGGAUGAGCCCGCGUAGGAUUAGCUUGUUGGUGGGGUAAAGGCCUACCAAGGCGACGAUCCUUAGCUGGUCUGAGAGGAUGAUCAGCCACACUGGGACUGAGACACGGCCCAGACUCCUACGGGAGGCAGCAGUGGGGAAUAUUGGACAAUGGGCGAAAGCCUGAUCCAGCAAUGCCGCGUGAGUGAUGAAGGCCUUAGGGUUGUAAAGCUCUUUUACCCGGGAUGAUAAUGACAGUACCGGGAGAAUAAGCCCCGGCUAACUCCGUG